GUGCCUCAGCAUUUUCUUCCAAGUCUUUACUGGACAGGCUGCUCUGGUGCUUAUCACUGGAGAUAGAGAGAGUACCUUGCCUUCAACUUCUUCUCAAUGCCAGCAUCCCCCUUCCUUCAUCCAUAGCCAUAUAUGACGAUUGCUGAGCCUGAUGGGGGUUGUAAUUCAGCAACAUCUGGAGGGCCAGAGGUUCCCACACUUACUUGCAGGCUCCGGACUAAGACCGAGAUCAUCAGAGUUGGGUCCUUGUUGACUAAGAGCGCCGGGGAUUAUGGGAGUUGUAAUCCAACAACAUCAAGGGACCCAAGAUUGAAUGAUGCUGGCUUGUAGGACAUACUGCUGCCUAGGCUAAGCAGUCCUGGGUCUUGGUAGGAGGCCACAGGUAUACCACCUUGAGUUUCGUGAUGGAAGAAGGGAAGGAUAUGGCAGCAGAAAAGUAGAAUGUUUCUUAAAUAAAUCAAGGUCCAUGGUUGCUUUUUGCUGAGCCCUGCUAUAUAGGUCUGCAGGACUCUGCCUCAUGUUGGAUUUUGGGCAGGGGGGAGGUGUGUUGCCAGGAUACU
This is a non-coding RNA of Podarcis lilfordi (Lilford's wall lizard), 560 nucleotides long. NCBI's taxonomy places the organism in Eukaryota, Metazoa, Chordata, Lepidosauria, Squamata, Lacertidae. The record is from the annotation of a GenBank genome assembly.